RNAcentral lists this ribosomal RNA (252 nucleotides) under uncultured prokaryote. Its description in RNAcentral is "partial 16S ribosomal RNA". It matches the Rfam family "Bacterial small subunit ribosomal RNA", at positions 524 to 776 of the family's 1533-position model. The record is from RNAcentral.
UACGGGGGGGCAAGCGUUGUUCGGAAUUACUGGGCGUAAAGGGCUCGUAGGCGGCCAACUAAGUCGGACGUGAAAUCCCUCGGCUUAACCGGGGAACUGCGUCCGAUACUGGCAGGCUUGAAUCCGGGAGAGGGAUGUGGAAUUCCAGGUGUAGCGGUGAAAUGCGUAGAUAUCUGGAGGAACACCGGUGGCGAAGGCGGCAUCCUGGACCGGCAUUGACGCUGAGGCGCGAAAGCCAGGGGAGCAAACGGG